RNAcentral lists this ribosomal RNA (857 nucleotides) under uncultured bacterium. Its description in RNAcentral is "bacterial SSU rRNA". It matches the Rfam family "Bacterial small subunit ribosomal RNA", at positions 31 to 871 of the family's 1533-position model. The record is from RNAcentral.
GGGCCCAGCGGGGGCCUACACAUGCAGUCGAACGCGAAAGCCCCGCAAGGGGCAAGUAGAGUGGCAAACGGGUGAGUAACACGUGGGUGACCUACCUUCGAGUGGGGGAUAACGUCCCGAAAGGGACGCUAAUACCGCAUAAUAUGCUGCCUUUUAAGAGGCGGACAUCAAAGCCGGGGACCGCAAGGCCUGGCGCUUGACGAGGGGCCCGCGCCUGAUUAGCUAGUUGGUGGGGUAAUGGCUCACCAAGGCAACGAUCAGUAUCCGGCCUGAGAGGGCGGACGGACACACUGGGACUGAGACACGGCCCAGACUCCUACGGGAGGCAGCAGUGGGGAAUUGUUCGCAAUGGGCGCAAGCCUGACGACGCAACGCCGCGUGGAGGAUGAAGACCUUCGGGUCGUAAACUCCUUUCGAUCGAGACGAAUGGCCUCCGGGUAAAUAUCCCGGAGGAGUGACGGUACCGAGAGAAGAAGCCCCGGCUAACUCCGUGCCAGCAGCCGCGGUAAUACGGGGGGGCAAGCGUUGUUCGGAAUUACUGGGCGUAAAGGGCUCGUAGGCGGCCAACUAAGUCGGACGUGAAAUCCCUCAGCUUAACUGGGGAACUGCGUCCGAUACUGGAUGGCUUGAGUUCGGGAGAGGGAUGCGGAAUUCCAGGUGUAGCGGUGAAAUGCGUAGAUAUCUGGAGGAACACCGGUGGCGAAGGCGGCAUCCUGGACCGAUACUGACGCUGAGGAGCGAAAGCCAGGGGAGCAAACGGGAUUAGAUACCCCGGUAGUCCUGGCCCUAAACGAUGAAUGCUUGGUGUGGCGGGUAUCGAUCCCUGCCGUGCCGAAGCUAACGCAUUAAGCAUUCCG